This 64-nucleotide transfer RNA is filed under the name Cavia porcellus (domestic guinea pig). It matches the Rfam family "tRNA". Rfam says of the family: Transfer RNA (tRNA) molecules are approximately 80 nucleotides in length. Their secondary structure includes four short double-helical elements and three loops (D, anti-codon, and T loops). Lineage: Eukaryota; Metazoa; Chordata; Mammalia; Rodentia; Caviidae. The record is from Rfam by way of RNAcentral.
UGGGGAUUAGCUCAGCGGCAUAGCACUUGCCUUGCAAGCAGGCGGACGUGAGUUCAAUCCCCAG